RNAcentral lists this ribosomal RNA (484 nucleotides) under uncultured bacterium. Its description in RNAcentral is "partial 16S ribosomal RNA". It matches the Rfam family "Bacterial small subunit ribosomal RNA", at positions 30 to 507 of the family's 1533-position model. The record is from RNAcentral.
AUUGAACGCUGGCGGCAGGCCUAACACAUGCAAGUCGAGCGGAUGAAGGGAGCUUGCUCCUGGAUUCAGCGGCGGACGGGUGAGUAUUGCCUAGGAAUCUGCCUGGUAGUGGGGGAUAACGUCCGGAAACGGGCGCUAAUACCGCAUACGUCCUGAGGGAGAAAGUGGGGGAUCUUCGGACCUCACGCUAUCAGAUGAGCCUAGGUCGGAUUAGCUAGUUGGUGGGGUAAAGGCCUACCAAGGCGACGAUCCGUAACUGGUCUGAGAGGAUGAUCAGUCACACUGGAACUGAGACACGGUCCAGACUCCUACGGGAGGCCGCAGUGGGGAAUAUUGGACAAUGGGCGAAAGCCUGAUCCAGCCAUGCCGCGUGUGUGAAGAAGGUCUUCGGAUUGUAAAGCACUUUAAGUUGGGAGGAAGGGCAGUAAGUUAAUACCUUGCUGUUUUGACGUUACCAACAGAAUAAGCACCGGCUAACUUCGUG